AAUGUGGUGUGUGAGCAUUACGGGGUUUGGUCCCGUAGGUGGCUAGUUUCCCAUU
RNAcentral lists this transfer RNA (55 nucleotides) under Caryophyllaeus brachycollis. Its description in RNAcentral is "tRNA-Gln". The record is from RNAcentral. Lineage: Eukaryota; Metazoa; Platyhelminthes; Cestoda; Caryophyllidea; Caryophyllaeidae.